AAGACUAUACUUUCAGGGAUCAUUUCUAUAGUUUCUGACUUGAGAAAUGUGUUUCUAGAGUGUAUGGUCUCGCUAACCACGAUGAUGAGUUGUGAUAUUCUCUUUUGAGCAUGAAGCUGAUGACACAGUGUUGUGCUGUUUCAUCAUUGAUGAUUGCUUAUUGCUCUACUGCAGAGCAGUGACAAAGGGAAUAUGUUCAGAGUGGUU
Molecule: small nucleolar RNA, 207 nt
Organism: Maylandia zebra (zebra mbuna)
Lineage: Eukaryota; Metazoa; Chordata; Actinopteri; Cichliformes; Cichlidae
Source: Ensembl